Molecule: long non-coding RNA, 931 nt
Filed under: Mytilus galloprovincialis (Mediterranean mussel)
Lineage: Eukaryota; Metazoa; Mollusca; Bivalvia; Mytilida; Mytilidae
Source: RNAcentral
GUUUGAUCCUCAUACAACUACUAUUCAUGCUCAUCAUAUGUCUUUCCCUUUCGAAAAAUAAACAUCUGACUUACCUGUGGUUAUUGAACAUACCAGAUUUUUUAGAUCGCACGAAAUUUCAGAAAGAGAAAUUUCGAGCCAAUAAAAGAUUUUUUCCGGUUUUUUUUCUUUGUGAAACAGUUCGUUCAAUCCUUGGACACACUUUAAUCAUUUAAAAAAUGUUGCAUCUCCAUAUUGCCAAAACUCAGGAAUGAAAAGCUGAAUCAACUCAUUAGAAUUCUGCAAACAGGAAAACGUGAACGUGCUGCAACACAAAAAAUUGACGUCAGAAACUCGUCUUACUGUCCUUCCGACAAUGAUACCGGUAGACUGGAUUUGUUGAAGACCAUCAAAGACUAGAUCAACAUGUAGUGACAAUGCAACGUCAAUAGAAUUUGAUUAGACAACGUCAUUUGUGAGACAGAUCUACGGCCGCAACGUCAACUGCUAACCAAAUUGAUGAAUGAAAUUUUGCACAGAUUUAUGCCAUAAAUGUUUCCCAUUAACUGAACUGGCAAAGAAUCGACUGCAGAAAAACAUUUAGAGCCUUAAAGUUUAAACCGCAUAAUUGACAAAACACAUUGUAAUGGGUGGAACAACGGCAAAAUCAGAAGGUGCAAAACAGAAACCAAAACGUGCCGAACAGAAAUGGUUGACCUUUCUGACAAUCAUUUUGGCGUUUGUUACAGGCAGUCAUUGCUUUUGACGGUGACACGUUCAUUGGUAAGGGGAAAACCAGGGUUUCAGUGUAUACCACAAUAUUUGAACAUCGAAAAUGACGUAAUCAAUUCAACUUUCGAACUGCAUUUUUUUUUCAAACAUUUAAGUAAUGACAGAACUUUCUAUUCAUAAGUUUGUUUACAAAAAAAUGCAUAAUUAAAAAUGAAAAUUG